AAAGUCGUAACAAGGUUUCCGUAGGUGAACCUGCGGAAGGAUCAUUACUGAAGUGAUUUGGGGAUGUUGCUGGCCUCUCUCGGGAGGCAAUGUGCACUCUCCAAAACAAUUCAUGAUUUCCAUCACACCCCUUGUGCACAUCCUGUAGGGCAAUGCCACCCCCUCUCAAAGUUGGGGCUGUUGUCCUAUGUAUUCUCUCAUCUCACACAUUUUGAAUGGUGCUCUUGGAUGCAUCUUGUGGAUUAUUUGUAACAAAGUAAUCAUAAAAACAACUUUCAACAAUGGAUCUCUUGGCUCUC
RNAcentral lists this unclassified non-coding RNA (299 nucleotides) under Basidiomycota sp. RNAcentral's name for it is "partial contains small subunit ribosomal RNA, internal transcribed spacer 1, and 5.8S ribosomal RNA". The stretch from base 1 to 47 matches the Rfam family "Eukaryotic small subunit ribosomal RNA", at positions 1785 to 1831 of the family's 1831-position model. The record is from RNAcentral. Lineage: Eukaryota; Fungi; Basidiomycota.